RNAcentral lists this transfer RNA (73 nucleotides) under Ovis aries (sheep). It matches the Rfam family "tRNA". From Rfam's summary of the family: Transfer RNA (tRNA) molecules are approximately 80 nucleotides in length. Their secondary structure includes four short double-helical elements and three loops (D, anti-codon, and T loops). Lineage: Eukaryota; Metazoa; Chordata; Mammalia; Artiodactyla; Bovidae. The record is from Rfam by way of RNAcentral.
UCCCUGAUGGUCCAGUGGUUAGGACUCUGGGCUUCCAUUAUAGGGGGUGCGGGUUCGAUUCUUGGUCAGGGGA